AUGGUCGAUCUCGUACUCAUGGCCACCAUGCUCCCCGGCGUUUGGGAAGAUGACCAGGAGCUUCAUCGCCGACAUGUACAUCGCCUACAACCUCCAGUUCGAGCUGAAGCCCUCCACAACCUCGCCAUCCAGUCGUCUUCCCCGCCACGGCCACAGCGCCAUCACCAUCGAUCUCCACCACCGAUGCCUCCCCGCGGUUCCGAGUUCGUCCACGACCUCCCUUGUAACGAUGGAGCCCAGGAGCCAGACGCCACCGUCGAUGACGACUACUACUACUCGGGAGGUGCCUAG
This 291-nucleotide ribosomal RNA is filed under the name Triticum aestivum (bread wheat). Its description in RNAcentral is "partial small subunit ribosomal RNA". Lineage: Eukaryota; Viridiplantae; Streptophyta; Magnoliopsida; Poales; Poaceae. The record is from RNAcentral.